This is a long non-coding RNA of Crotalus tigris (Tiger rattlesnake), 5132 nucleotides long. RefSeq lists it as uncharacterized. The transcript has 2 exons. The record is from RefSeq and is a predicted model, not a curated record. Lineage: Eukaryota; Metazoa; Chordata; Lepidosauria; Squamata; Viperidae.
UCUCUCUGAAUAUUUCUCCUUUCUCGUGAAAUGCUGCUGCUGGCUUUGUUUGGUGCUUCAAAGCCACAACUGCUAAAACAAAUACUGGCAAGCAAGAAAACAAAACAGAAGAAAAAGAUUAACAAAUGUUUGGCACCAGGCACCAAAAGACCCGUCCAGCUGGCCCACUUCUGUGGCCAAAGGAAAUGACUCUGCAGGUGAGAAUGGAGUUCUGGAUUGAUGCAUGCGGCAUCCCCUGGCCUGCAUUUUGCUGUCAGAGGCCUUCCAGAAAGGCCUCUGCAGCCAAGAACCGAGCUAUGGAUUCAAUCAAUUAAUAGGAGGCCUGGUUGCAAUGGUAAGCGGGUGCAAGGCAUGUGGGGCAGCUCCACCUCCACCCCCACCCUAGCUUGAAUUUUAGGUGUAUGCCUUGCCCCAAAACUAGGGCUUAUUUUUGGGGUAGGGCUUACUUUUGGGGAAACACAUUAACAAAUAGUAUUGAGUUGUCAUAGCUAAAUAGAUUUAUAGGGUAUUUUAUAAAGGAUAGUUUUAAUAAUCAAAAUUAUUAGUGAUGAGAGUUAUAUUUUCUGUCAGCUGCUCAUAUACAACAUAUCAAAGAUUAUGAAAAUAAUAUUCAUAUAGCAAUAGCACUUAGACAUAUACCGCUUCAUAGUGCUUUAUAGCCCUCUCUAAGUGGUUUACAAACUCAGCUUAUUUCCCUCAACAAUCUGGGUCCUUAUUUUACUGACCUCAGAAGGAUGGAAGGCUGAAUCAAUCCUGAGCUGUACAGAAUCAAACUCCUGGAGUGAGCAAUGAGUUAGCCUGCAGUACUGCAUUCUAACCACUGUGCCACCAUGGCUCAGUGUUGCAAAUCAGUAAUCUGAUUCACCAAUAGCCAAAAUUCCUUUUUAGAAAACAUUCUUUAACCUUGGGGGAAAGUUAUCUCUUGAGAAGAGCAAGCAGGAAAAAAAAGGCAAUGCCAAAGGACAGGGGGAAAAAAACACAAGGAUGAAUGAAAGGAUUAUGACUAGCAGACGAAAGUACAAAGACAACAAAAAUAAUUUGGGGGAGGGGGUUAUAGUUGGCUUCAGAUCAAGUAAAGUUAUUUUUACUAAUGGUAAUUACUUCAGCUUGUGGAUAAUGUAAGCUUCUUUAUGUAUUGUAGGAAACCUGUAUGCUCUAAACUUAUUCUCACUGACUUAUUUGCACCCUUGCCUACUAAAAGAAUAUGCCUAAUAAUAAAUGCUGUUUAGAAAGCCAGGGAUCAUGUACCCAACUUGACCAGUAUCUUAAGUCAUAUAUGACCCAGUCACAAAGACUUGACCUCUGUUUAAAAAAAAAAUCCCAGCAACACAGGAGAGAAGAGAUAUUUCUUAGCUAGGAAUUCCUCAGGGGAUUAUAGAUGGAUAACAAAACCGAGCAGAGUUUAUGACUUUAUAGUAGAGAUGACCUAGAGCUUAGAGAAAAUAGUGCAAAUAAAUUUGGGGAAUAAAAGAUAGAAUGUUGGUUAUAAUAAACCAGAAGAAAAAUAUUGGGAGAUCUGGUACUUUCUCUUGUCACCUCUAAUUCUUCCCUUGAUAAUUUCUUCUGUGGUUGUCUGUUUUUGCUAUCAAUCACACUUCACAGCAUUUUCCACCCAAAGCUCUUUCAAUAACUCAAGUCAGCUUGUAAAUGCAUAGCAUCUCUGAUGAACUUUUGACCUCUGGAUAAUUAUUUUAGCUAGUGAGAAUUUACUAUGAUGUGGACAAUCUCUCAAAAUAGAUCACUGGACCCUCUAACACCAUUUUUAAAGACCUUAUCAAAACACUGAGACUUAUUAACUGAAGACCCACUAUUAUCAACAUUAUUAGAUGUCCACUAAGACAUCCCACAUCUCCUAAGGACCACCAUAAUAGCCAUACCCACCCUGGGGCAAAACAGUGUUCAAGAUAAGGAUGGCUGCAAGAAUGUCCACAGCCAGCAGCAAUGUCACUGCCAAGGACACAUGCAUGGCAAUGGUGACUCCCAAAGGCAAAAAGGCUGCCAGGGACAGUAGCCAAGAUAGAUUACUCAAUGACAGCUCCUGCAGUUGCUCACAGUGAAGAAAAGUUUUCAAGGGACCAUCAAGAGAGAGUGCACAGAAAAGAAAUCUUUAAUGGCCCUCAGGAAUCUAUGGAGAUUCUCAGUCAUCCAGGUGAUGCUUGUCCAAAGGUAUUUUCCAAAAGGCAAUUGGACUUUUUUUUUCCUUUGAGGAGAUGUAUUUCAGGCUGUGAUUCCUUAGCCAUGGCAGCUACUGAUAUAUCAGCAGAGGGGAGAACCCAGGGAGGCCAUUUUUCAAAGUAAAUGAAACACUCCUUUGAUAUAAAAGUUUCUGUUUCUAAUCUAAUAAUGACAAAAUUGAAUUCAAAUAUCUCAAAACCAUGUUUAAUACCUACUUUCAUUAUCUUCAAGUUCAAAACUGGAAUUGUUUUUGCUCUCUUCCAUCAAAUAGAAUGAAAAAUUAUGUUUUUUCAUUGCAUCAUCUUUAUCUACUGCACUGAUUGUUUGGAUGAGCUAGAAACAAAAAUCAAUAAACAAUGUGUUUAGUGCCAAAGAUUAUUGCUUGGCUUUUAAUGCAAUGGGUCACAACUGCAGGCAAUAUAUUCUGAUCAAUUAACAAGGUUACAAUUGUGCUUGUCUCCAAAGGGCAGGAAAUGUAUUUACUGUUACUACAAAUUCACAUUAUUUAGCUCAAUCUCUUUUAGGGGUGUUGAUUUUUUUUAAAUGUCCCACAAUUAUGCCACUUGAUUUUGUAUUGAUUGGAAGGAGAUAAGCAGUAAAUUCUUGAGAUAAUGCAGAUUACUUUUGGAACAACAAUGCAAAGGUUAACUAAAGUUUGCAUAAGCAGCAAAGAGGGAGAGGAAAGGGAAAUGAAUAAAGUAUUCUACCCUUUGUUUUUCAAGAUGGAAAGUAUAACUUUCUAUGUUUGAACACAUCCUUCAAUACCAAAAACCUAUUUUCUUCCUGUGCACAAAUCUCAUUGGCAUCACUUAAAUGAUGUAUUACACUAGCUAUGACCCCAAGAUUGUGAAAGGUUCAUGUGCUGAAUUGUCAAUUCUUUGAGAUUGUAAUAGAUUGAUUAUGGGAACACUCAGCUGUGUUUUCAAAGAAGGAAGAUAAUCCCCAUUGACAAACAUAUCAAACUAAAUUACAAUUUGUAAGAAAAAUUAAAAAUAAGCAUGUUUGCAUUAAAAAUGGGAUAAAGUUCACAUCUCAUAAACAUGUCAUAUUACAAUUGCCAUAAUAAGCCAUCAUUUCCAUUGCAAAAAUAAAUAUUUGCUACUAUUGUCAGUAGAUGUUGUUUACCGACUCAUACACUAUUUUGAAAACACUCUUUAAUUUCCCAUUUCACUUCAAUUUUUUAAAACACCCCUUAAUAAUUGAUCAGUUGGCAUUAGAAAAUUUAAUUUGACUUAAACCAGAUAAUGCAUGCAUAUUUCCAUUAAUUUCAAUGUUUUAAAAUUGUUUUCCCUCUUUUUUCCUUAAAAACGAGCAACACCUUGACUUUAUCAUCAUGUCCUAUCAUAAUUAAGAAGUGCACAUUUCUUACUGUGACUGUCAUAAAAGAAAUAUUAUGAUUACAUCAGAGACAUACAUUUAGUUCACCCAUCACCCAUGGAAAAAAUGUCCUUUGGAAUAGCAUAUUUUGCGACCCCAGGCAUUUACGUACUAGUGCCAUGGGGCCGAAUCAGCAAAUUAUAAUUAGACUUACUGUAUGAAUGAAAUUGUUGAUUCAGCCUAACAGGAUUGCAAUAGGUGGCAGUCCAACUUCCUCUCAUGGACGUUCUAAGCAGCAUUUCCUGUUGCUACAGUUGCACGAAUAACAGAGUAACAGAGUCGGAAGGAACCUUAGGGGUCUUCUAGUCCAACACCCUGCUCAAGCAGGAAACCCUAUACCACUUGAGACAAAUGGUUGUCCAAUCUCUUCUUAAAAACCUCCAGUGUUGGAGCACCCACAACUUUUGGAGGCAAGUCAUUCCACUGAUUAAUUGUUCUUCUCUCCUUGAUUAGUUUCCAUCCAUUACGCUAAGGUGACUGACUUUUAAGAUCAUAUUUAGAAUUUUUAAAUUUUAAAGAUGUGAUAAAAGAAACAUUUUAUAUACAAUAUAGGUUUUAUGGUUGGUGCAUGUUUUCCAUACUUUUUUUUCCCUUUGAUAUAUUCCUGUGCCAGCAAGUAAUCCUGCCAUACACACUGAGAAACAAACAUUCAUUGGAUGAAGAUGUGCUAAUCUUUUCUAUGUGCUCAUGUUUUGAUAGUGUUUUACCUAUGAGAAUAUAGAUAGCUGUAGACAAUAAAUGUCAGGCACUGAAGUGUUUUGUCUCCUAUAUCUUAACUGAUCCCAUGAAAGCUUUAUUUCAUAAAGCAAGAUACAGUUAAAUUUAAACAUGCAUUAAAGUAUUUAUUUGUCUAUUUGGUAUGCACAUGUAUUUAUAAAACAUUUGGUACAGAAUUCAGCAAAAUAAAUGAGUUACUAAAAAUAUUAAUUCUGAUGUUGUGGUUGAAUUAAAAGGGAAAAAUCAUCUAGAGAAGAACAUAGUAAGAUAUUUUUGGCACUUUUCUUAUUUCUUAAAGCAGAGGUGGAACCAUAGUUUAUUGGCUGAAUAUGUGAUUUCCAUGCAAAAUACUCCAGAAUCAGUUUCUGGCAUCUCCAAACCGAUCUGGGAAAAAAAAUAUAUCUUCCUGGAAACCUUAGAGAACAGCUGCCAGCCAUUAUUAACUACCUAGGAUUAGAUGGACCACUGGCAGCUUUCCAUGCUCCUAAUUUGGCAUCUAACAGCCAAAGGAAGAAGGAAUUGCUUAGUAAACAGCUGGAUUUCCUUGCAUCUUUCCCCAGAUUUAAAGCUUCUACUAGUAAUAUAAGAAGAAAAAGUAAAUUGUCUGCUUGGUAUCUAAUUGAAAGUAGCUGUCAGGUUUCCUUUUUUGGGUAUUCUGGUGGAAGGGAGAGGAGGCUCCAGGGGACCAUUCUUUACAUGCUUUCACUUUUGCUAUAACUGCAUGGGAAUUAGGGAGGGGGAUCAUUUUUGGAGAUGGAAUAGAUUCCCUCUCAGCCAGUUCCAGCUUGACUCCAAGGUCACUGCACCUUGAGGAGGACCCAUUAUCUAUCCUGUACCUCAGCAUUCUCAAAAAAAAAAAAAAA